GACGAACCAUGCAAACGUUAUUCGGAUUCACUGGGCUUAAAGCGUGCGUAGGCGGUCUUGUUAGUCAGGUGUGAAAGCCCUCAGCCUAACUGAGGAAUUGCGCUUGAUACUGCAUGACUAGAGAAUGAUAGAGGUGGGUGGAACUGAUGGUGGAGCGGUGAAAUGCGUUGAUAUCAUCAGGAACACCAGUGGCGAAGGCGGUUCUCUGGGCAUUACCUGACGCUGAGGAGCGAAAGUGUGGGGAGCGAACAGG
RNAcentral lists this ribosomal RNA (253 nucleotides) under uncultured bacterium. RNAcentral's name for it is "partial 16S ribosomal RNA". It matches the Rfam family "Bacterial small subunit ribosomal RNA", at positions 524 to 776 of the family's 1533-position model. The record is from RNAcentral.